Molecule: long non-coding RNA, 407 nt
Organism: Polistes canadensis
Lineage: Eukaryota; Metazoa; Arthropoda; Insecta; Hymenoptera; Vespidae
Exons: 2
Source: RefSeq, a predicted model, not a curated record
UCGUGUGUAGUGUAGUUGUAGUUGUAGUUGGAGUUGUGUUGUCUUGUAGUUGAGUCGUAAUCGUAGCCGUAGUAGUCGUGCACAACCACCUUCUAUCCUCUCCUAUACUUUUAACGCUUUAAAAACGAUAAUAGAAUUAUUGUAUCUAAUUGUUGGUAAAGUAAAAGUAGGGGGAGGAAAAAUUGAAGUUAGAGGUGGAGAAAAAGAUCGUAACUGCACUUCUCCACUGCUUGUUUGUUGCAUUGCUCCUUCUCCGGAAGACGAAGUAGUUUCUAUGUUAGUUUUCAACAUUUUUAAAUAAUAUUAGUUGUAAAUAAAAUGUAAUUAUAUAUAAGUGUUGAUUAUUAAUACUAAUAGGCACAAUUAUAUUGUAUUGUAUAAUGUUGCAAAGAUAAACGGCGAAAGUA